This 353-nucleotide unclassified non-coding RNA is filed under the name soil metagenome. RNAcentral describes it as "partial contains 5.8S ribosomal RNA, internal transcribed spacer 2, and large subunit ribosomal RNA". The stretch from base 1 to 120 matches the Rfam family "5.8S ribosomal RNA", at positions 35 to 154 of the family's 154-position model. The record is from RNAcentral.
GAUGAAGAACGCAGUGAAAUGCGAUAAGUAGUGUGAAUUGCAGAAUUCAGUGAAUCAUCGAAUCUUUGAACGCACAUUGCGCCCGCCAGUAUUCUGGCGGGCAUGCCUGUUCGAGCGUCAUUACAACCCUCAGGCCCCCGGGCCUGGCGUUGGGGAUCGGCGGAAGCCCCCUGCGGGCACAACGCCGUCCCCCAAAUACAGUGGCGGUCCCGCCGCAGCUUCCAUUGCGUAGUAGCUAACACCUCGCAACUGGAGAGCGGCGCGGCCACGCCGUAAAACACCCAACUUCUGAAUGUUGACCUCGAAUCAGGUAGGAAUACCCGCUGAACUUAAGCAUAUCAAUAAGCGGAGGA